Molecule: ribosomal RNA, 569 nt
Filed under: Thraustochytrium sp. LLF1b
Lineage: Eukaryota; Bigyra; Thraustochytrida; Thraustochytriidae
Description: partial Bacterial small subunit ribosomal RNA
Rfam family: Bacterial small subunit ribosomal RNA
Source: RNAcentral
GUUUGAUCCUGGCUCAGGAUGAACGCUGGCGGCGUGCCUAAUACAUGCAAGUCGAGCGGACUUGAUGGGAGCUUGCUCCCUGAUAGUCAGCGGCGGACGGGUGAGUAACACGUGGGCAACCUACCUUUAAGACUGGGAUAACUUCGGGAAACCGGAGCUAAUACCGGAUAACAUGUAAGACCACAUGGUCUUACAUUAAAAGAUGGCUUCGGCUAUCACUUAUAGAUGGGCCCGCGGCGCAUUAGCUAGUUGGUGAGGUAAUGGCUCACCAAGGCGACGAUGCGUAGCCGACCUGAGAGGGUGAUCGGCCACACUGGGACUGAGACACGGCCCAGACUCCUACGGGAGGCAGCAGUGGGGAAUAUUGGACAAUGGGCGCAAGCCUGAUCCAGCAAUGCCGCGUGGGUGAAGAAGGUCUUCGGAUUGUAAAGCCCUUUCGACAGGGACGAUGAUGACGGUACCUGUAGAAGAAGCCCCGGCUAACUUCGUGCCAGCAGCCGCGGUAAUACGAAGGGGGCUAGCGUUGCUCGGAAUUACUGGGCGUAAAGGGCGCGUAGGCGGCUCUGUUA